AGGGCUGGGCAGGGGUUCCUUCUGCCCCAUCCGCUCCCCGGGGUAUCCCCCCUCCCAGACUCCGUCCCUGUUGUCUGCCUGUCUUCGUCUUCCAGAGAAGGGGACUUGGCGUUCUCGUCCUCGAGGGCAGCCGAGUACGUGGCGGGGAGAGGCCGCCGGAUGGUGGCGUUGGGACCUGGGGCUCUCUGUCCAGGCGUAGAAAUGAGCAGGCCACGGUCAUCAGUCGCGUCUCACUGCCCUCCCGUCGGGCAGAGGGGCCUGCACCGUGCCCGCCCGGGGCCCCGGCAUGGUCUGGGAAGAGGGCUUCCUUCCCCUCCGAGGCCCAUGCCGCUGUCCCCACCCGCCUGGGCGCUGCUCACCGACGGCUGCCGGCCUAAGGAGCUUCACGGGCGGCCGAGGACUCAGUGUCCAGCUGUGUUGCCCAAAGCGCCCUCCAAGAGCCCUCACCUCGCAGGCCUUCCUUCCUUCCGCGCCCCGAGGACAGGAUAGGAAGGAGACGCCCAAGUGGAAGGAAGGAAGCGUUUCUCCUCCUUCCUGGAAGCGGUGCCGGUGGUGAGCGCACACCGCUGACCAGCUCCCUCCUCUGCCUGACGCCCCUGCCCCCCCAAGUGCAGGUGGAGCCCCCAACAGGUGGGUGGACGGCCCCUCGCGGCUGCACCUGGUUGGCCCCAUUGCGCCUUGUGGAUCCCAGAGGGCGGGGAUGCCCUGUUCUGUCCCAGUUACCACCUGGCCCCAAGGCUCGGUAAGGAGUCGCUUGACCCUGCAGAGAUCGGGGUGCAUGUGUGGUAAAACGGUCCUCGUGGCCACCUCGUUCCUCACAGCUGGAAGCGGAAACGGCCCUCACGGCCCCCAGAGAACGGAGACGCAGCUGGCAGAAGAACGGGGUGCAGAGGAGCCAGGACCGGUCGGAGUGCGCGGGCCCUGACGCGCCCCAGGUGGCUGAGAUGGCAGGCCUCCCGCGGCCUCCCGUGUCCCCGCCCUGCCUGAGGCCACCACAGCGUCUCCGGGACGCAAGGAGAGCGGGGGACACUGAGCCGUCAUUCUGGGCAGGGGACAGCACGGGCACGUCGGAUUCCCAGAUCCCGGGACGGGAACUUCCCAGACAAUGUCGUCAGCCACACUGCGGCGUGCUGGCACCGAGCUGGCAAACGUCUCACGGGGAAUUUAAAUAUGUCUCGAUAGAAUAAAGCGAUUUAAGUCCACUCUA
Molecule: long non-coding RNA, 1207 nt
Organism: Neofelis nebulosa (Clouded leopard)
Lineage: Eukaryota; Metazoa; Chordata; Mammalia; Carnivora; Felidae
Exons: 2
Source: RefSeq, a predicted model, not a curated record